Molecule: long non-coding RNA, 5139 nt
Filed under: Sus scrofa (pig)
Lineage: Eukaryota; Metazoa; Chordata; Mammalia; Artiodactyla; Suidae
Description: lncRNA (ENSSSCG00000053772.1)
Source: RNAcentral
AUGAGUUCUGUCCCUGUAGACAGCUAGCUCCCAGUCUAUAUUCUGCAGCUCAAAUAUAUGUGCUUUCUUUCCGUUUUUUUCCUUUUGGUAGUUAAAAAUUCUAAGUAUAGAUUAUUCUCAAAUGUCAGAAGAAAAAGUGAUGUUAUUGUAGCCAUUUUGCCAGCCACCUAGCCAGCUUGCACUACCAAGUGGUUAUGUGAUAUGCCUGGAAGCUAAUUAUGAGCUUAGUGUCACAACUCCCAACCCCCCAAAAUAAAUCUAAUAGACAUUCUUUUUUUCCACUAAAAGUGUGUGUGGUUUUAGGCAUUGCUUUUUUUCAUGAUUUUUUUCUCAGCCUCCAGACAGUUAAAACUGGUAUUUAUUGGUUAGAAAGUAGUUGUGGGAGUUCCCAUUGUGGCUCAGCAGGUUAAGAACCUGACCAGUAUCCAUGAGGAUGCAGGUUUGAUCCCUGGCCUCACUCAGUGGGUUUAGAAGCCGGAGUUGCCAUGAGCUGUGGUGUUAAAAAAAAAAAAAAAAAAAAAAAAAAAAGGGAAAGAAACUGUGUUUAUUAAAGUUUUUAUUCUGAAGUAAAACAUGCUGAUUGUAGUGAAAAUUCAAACAGUAGUGAAAUGUGGCAAGUGGAAAUCUACUCAAUCACCUUUUAGGGAAAACUGGUAUUAUCAUAUAUAUAUUUGUCUUCCCAAUAUUUAUAUAUAGUAUAUAUGCAAAAAUUAAACUAUUCUGCAACCGGUUUCCAUCAUUCACUAUAGGUGGUAGGGCCUUUUAGUAGUUGAACAUAUAAACUUACUUCAUUUUUUCAAGGAGCUGAAUAAUAGUCUUAUUGAACAAAUGUACCAUAAUUUAUUCAAUGUGUCUUUUAUGGACAUUUAAAUUGUAUGAUAUUUUAAAAAUUUCUUAUUUAUUGUAAGGAUUGCUGCAAGAAACAUCAUGUAAAUAAAUAUAUCUUUGCGGAGUUGAGAAUUUAUGUCUUAGGUCUAAAUUUUCUAGCUGGAGAAUUGCUAAGUCAGAGACUAUUCUGUAAUUGUGGUAGAUAAUGACAGGUUGUCCUCCAAAAGGUGGUUCUGAAUUACUCUUUCAUCUACAGUACAUAAUAAUUCCUAUUUCCAAACUAGUAAAUUUAAUGUACUUUGAAGGUCCCAGAAUAUCUGUCUUUUUCUGGUUGGGUAAACACUGUGUGGAACACACCCUUUACUUUUUGUUCUGUAUCUGGUUUGGAUAGACUCACUGGAGAAACUGGUUUAUGAUUCUAACCUGACACUUGGAUGUCUGUGUUUGUUUAAUAUACCUCCUUAAAAGUUUAAACAUUUUAGGUGGAAGAUGUGAAAAAAAAAGCGUUCAUAUACACCUCUGGAAACCUUUUCUCUUCUCAAUUUUCAGAGUACACAGAUUUAUAAAGGUUUAGUGGCAAGUUAGGGUGUCUAAAUUCAUAUCAACUUGGCCACCAAAUAGCUGUGGACUUUAGGCAAGACACUUAAUCGUACUGUUCCUUAAUUUCCUCCUUGGUAAUAGUUACCGACCUCACAAGAUUGUUGUGAAAACAAAUAAUAGUGAUGAGGAUAGUAAUAAUAUUUUUGAAUAGUAAUUUAUAGCUUUCAGAACACAUUAAUGUGCAUUAUCUCUUUAGAUCUUUAUAAUAACCUUAUAUGGGAGAUAGGACAAACAUUUUCAUCACCAUUUUUUUUCACAUAAGAAAACUAAGGCACGGUUGAAAUGUGGUAACAAUAUCAAGAAAUAUUUCUUUGAGAGGUUAAUAUUACUACACAAAGGUAAUACCAAGGACAAGGAAACACUUACAUAACUAUUCCUGGCAAAGAGUUUCAGGGACUACUGCGUGUAUGGCAUUUCUUCCAGCAUUCCUAAGGAUGUUUACUAUGACGAGAAGACCAAUCUGUGAGCAACUGUUCUCCCCCCUUUUCCCACCAAAACUUUGUAUAUGGUUAAUGAUUAGAAAAUAGAAUUGUAUGUGUGACUUAUAAAUGCGUACAUGAUAGGAGUUCCUGCUGUGGCACAGUGGGUUAAGAAUCUGACUAUAGCAGCUCAGGCCUCUGCUAAGGCACGGGUUUGAUUCUCAGCCAGGUGCAGUGGGGUAAAGGAUCCAUCAUUCACAGCUGCAGCGAAGGUCAUAGCUGUAGCUUGGAUCAAUCAUCCCUGGCCCGGAAAUUUCCAUAUGCCAUGGGUGUGGCCAUAAAAAAGAUGCAAGUUUCAUCUUGCCUUGGUCACCACUGGAAACCUUGGUUAUGCAUCUAACUUGUAACUUCUGUUUUCUCAGCUUCCACUGUAGCUUCAUUACAAGCCUUGCACACUAGGUUUUCAGGGUAGCCCCAGAACACAAUGUACAAAUAUACACUGGAUCUUAGAGGAGAACAAGGGAAAGAACCCUCUCGUAUGUGCUUUAGCAGAGUGACUUGGCAUUUUCUCCCCCAUCUUGGAGGUUAAAGUAGUAUAUGUAAAAGUGUAUAUAUACUUUCUUUCUUUCUGGGGAGUGGGGGUGGAUACUUGAAAGAAAAGAAAAUCCUGACAUUAAUGUUGAUUCAGGAGCUAAUGUUCCAAAAAUUGGCUUCUACUUUUUAAUCGACUAAUCCAAGAAAUGUUUUCAUACUUCCCCAGGUUUCCACAGACAGAAAGCAAUUAUAUCAAAUCUUUAAGUUCAUCAUGAAUGGAAUGAUAAUAAUUUUUCUGUCUAGCUUGGACUGUAUCAGUAAUAAAUAACUCUCUUGAAGUAUUCUAUUUCCCAUGGAAUCAAAUUUAUAAUACAAUGUCUAUUUCUCACUUGGUGAUUAAACACAUUCAGUAACUAACUAUAUUAUUUAGUCCCCUUCGUAGGGAAGAGAAACCUGUGAGCAUGUAUCUGAUACUUUACUAAGGACAGAGUCAGCAAAUAAGUAGCACCACUGUAGUGCAAGACUGACAGUCCUUUCAGUGUCACAGAGAGUAGAUGAUUCCUCAAAGAAUUGUGAAGAGGGACAGGGCCUGGUAAGAUUACACAGCAAAUACAGAAGGAGCUGAGACCAGAAAACAAGGCUCAUAGACUAUGAACUUGCCAACAUUACUGCAGUUAUGCAUCCUGAGGGCUAUGCUGUCCACUUCUCUUGUCUGCCAUGAUACCCAGAGCUAAAUUUAGCACAAAACAACCACCAUUCUUAGCUUCAAUUUCAGUUAUUAGUUACCUUUUCCACUAUAGAUUUGCCUUUUAAAAUAUACAUUUUAAGGAUUUUGGAGUUCCUGUUGUGGUUCAGGGGGUUAAGAACCCAACUAGUAUCCCUGAGGAUUUGUGUUUGAUCCCUGGUCUCACUUAGUGGCUUAAGCUUUUGUGUAGGUCACAGAUGUGUCUCAGAUCCGGCAUUGCCAUGGCUGUGGUGUAGGUCACAGCUGCAACUUUGAUUUGACCCUUGGCCUAGGAACUUCCAUAUGCCACAGGCUUGGCCAUAAAAAGAAGGGGGAAGGAGUUCCCACUGUGGCUCAGAGAAAACAAAUCUGACUAGCCUCCACAAGGACACAGGUGCAAUCCCCAGCCUCGCUCAGUGGGUUAAGGAUCCGGCCUUGCCCUGAGCUGUGGUGUGGGUUGCAGAUGUGGCUUGGAUCUGGGGUUGCUAUGGCUAUGGUGCAGUCCGGCAGCUGUAGCUCUGAUUUGACCCCUAGCCUGGGAACCUCCAUAUGCUGCACAUGCAGCUCUAAAAAGACAGAAAAAAAGGGGGGGGUGGGGAGAGAAUGUAUUGAAUAUAUUUUCCUUUUUAAAAAAAUCACUUUACAUCUCUUUUUGGAAAUAGGUUGUUGCAAAUAUAAUAACUUGUACUUUUUAACACUGGACUUUCCCUGUGCUUUUUACAAACAUGGGGAUCUUUUACUGUUUGUUCUCAUGUCUAUUCAGUGUCAUGUAAGGACAUAACAAUAAUUUUUCUAAUACGAUGGAGUCCAUUAGUUUUACAUUGGUAACUCCCAGAGUUUGGAUGCCUGGUUUUCUGUUUAUCUGAGUAUCUUUACUCAGCUCUUUAGAUGGGAAACACUCUAACACAGACUCACGGGUUGACUGCAGACUGGACUUCACAUUUUCAGCAUGUACAUUUUCUAACCAUGCCUUCUGUGUCUCACGAGCAAGAAACAGGUAAAGUUCACAUAUUUAUGGAUGUGAAAGAAUGACUAUUUGCAAAAGUGAGAAGAUACUUGAUUAGUUUGUUUUUAGGUCUGGCCUUCUCAAAAUUUCAUCGUCCUAUAAUCUGAUUUUGGCUGGAAAGGUAAUGCCAGGUAUCAGAAAAAUUAUGUAAGAGCAGAAUUUUUGAAAUAUAAGAGAUUUCAAUUACUUGAGAUUUUCCUAUAGAGGACUCUUGUUGUGAAGGCAUCUCUUUGCUGUGUUCAGUCUUCCAACUCUCCACAUUGUUUUCAUGCUUGGCCACUCAUUAAAGCAGACAGGCAGCCCAUACAUGAGUUCAUCAGGCUGUUUGUUUUCUUACACAUGCUCUCAGCAUAAGCAAUCCGGGCUGGUGCUGGCGGGGAAAGCAGUUCCAGGGUGUUAGGUACCAUGGCUUCCUCAGUCUCAUUGCUCUGCCUUCUUCAAUCUGCAGAGUCCAUCUCUUGGUCCAAUAUGGGCUGCUCCAUUGCUGCACAGAAGUCAGUAAGAAGGGGGAAGAAGUAGGGAAAGCCAUACCCCUUUCCUUUUAAUGUCACAAUGGAAGUGUUACUUAUCACUUCCAGGUUUAAUUGUUCACGUGCUCGUUCUCCAUCCUACUUUAACCCAGCUUUUGAGGAUUAUGCAAUUAAUUGUUUUCUCCUCUAAUUUUCUGGAAGUCUAAUUUUGCUGAAAAUUUUCUGGAAGUCUAUUUUGCCAGUUUGGGGGGGUGGUUUUAUACCAAAGCCAGAGUGCAUAGAUAAUAAUUAUACUGGGACUUUACUCUUGGGAUCUUCACAACCUGGGCUAAUCAGCUUCUGAUUUCCUCCUACCAAGAAAAGUUGUGGUACAGUGUGUAUCAUUUCCCCACCCCUGCAUUUUAACAAUAAAAGAUUUUAGACUGUGUGUCUCUGUGAGCCAGAGAAGGGAAUAACUCUAUGGGUCCUUUUUUGCAUGUUCAUUUGCUUAUUUUUAUUUUCGUAUUUCCUUAUAAUAUUUAGAUAUUGCUUUAUGAUAAAAAGAGGAAGUCCUUUAUU